AAGGUACUCCCUCCAUUCGGAAUUACUCGUCCAAGAAAUGCAUGUAUCUAGAUGUAUUUUAAUUGUAGAUACAUCCAUGUUUGUGACAAGUAAUUCCGAACGGAGGGAGUAGCUA
Non-coding RNA from Triticum aestivum (bread wheat), 115 nucleotides. NCBI's taxonomy places the organism in Eukaryota, Viridiplantae, Streptophyta, Magnoliopsida, Poales, Poaceae. The record is from Rfam.